RNAcentral lists this ribosomal RNA (484 nucleotides) under uncultured bacterium. Its description in RNAcentral is "partial 16S ribosomal RNA". It matches the Rfam family "Bacterial small subunit ribosomal RNA", at positions 28 to 507 of the family's 1533-position model. The record is from RNAcentral.
AUUGAACGCUGGCGGCAUGCCUUACACAUGCAAGUCGAACGGCAGCGGGCCCUUCGGGGUGCCGGCGAGUGGCGAACGGGUGAGUAAUGCAUCGGAACGUACCCGGGAGAGGGGGAUAACCGGCCGAAAGGCUGGCUAAUACCGCAUGAACUCGGAAGAGCAAAGCGGGGGACCUUCGGGCCUCGCGCUCUCGGAGCGGCCGAUGUCCGAUUAGGCUGUUGGUGGGGUAAAGGCCCACCAAGGCGACGAUCGGUAGCGGGUCUGAGAGGACGAUCCGCCACACUGGGACUGAGACACGGCCCAGACUCCUACGGGAGGCAGCAGUGGGGAAUCUUGGACAAUGGGCGCAAGCCUGAUCCAGCAAUGCCGCGUGGGUGAAGAAGGCCUUCGGGUUGUAAAGCCCUUUCGGCGGGGAAGAAAUCGGUCAGGCGAAUAGUCUGGCCGGAUGACGGUACCCGCAGAAGAAGCACCGGCUAACUACGUG